This is a long non-coding RNA of Rhineura floridana, 664 nucleotides long. RefSeq lists it as uncharacterized. The record is from RefSeq and is a predicted model, not a curated record. The transcript has 3 exons. Lineage: Eukaryota; Metazoa; Chordata; Lepidosauria; Squamata; Rhineuridae.
UCAUGACAUUACAUGAGGGGAACUGAUUAGAGUGGGAGUUCUUUUUUCUUUUUUUUACUUGGACUAAUAAUUCAUACAGGAACCCUUUAGGUGACAUCAGCAGGAUCUAGAGUCAAUAUUUUAAAAAGGAGGUUUUCCUACUUGAGAAGAUGGGGAAGUUGUCUCAGAUUGCCUUUAAGACUGCACAGUGCUGGUACCUCCAAACACAGAUUAGAGUUGGGAAUAUUUUUCCUAAGGAAAAAAGUAUUUGUGGCAAAGAAACUAAAAUUAUAUGGAGAAACUAGAGAACUCAAACACAAGAAUAUGCACUGAAUCAGCAAACUUUGCAGCUGAGUUCAAGAAACACAUGCCUGUGUACAGUCCGUUAAUGUGCAAAUCCAACCCUUAUUUAUUUUUAUCUUAGCUUUUCAAACAAUUAUUGUCUUCCAAACUGGCUCACAUCUUCAGUAAAAAUGAAAUAUAGCCCUGCCAUGAGGCUUUCAAACUAAAAAGACAAGACACACAAGGGAACGGGAGUGGAGGGAAAAGGCAGGGGAAUAUUAGCUCUUCAAGACCAGAAUGAAGAAGGCAUUUAUAUCUAGUUCAGGCUAGGCUGAAUUUCCCUUGCAGAUGUUCUUGCUUGAAUGGCAAUAGGUAGCUCUUUUCCUUUUGCAGGAUAGAAAUU